AAAAUGACGCACAAAGGACUGCACCCCGCAAACCUGAGUGGAGCAUGAGGGUUCCCUGGUUUUGGGUGGAAUCUGUCAAUAUGCAGACUUGGGCCACCAAGGAAAAGAUUGACUUUUCAGCUAUCAAGUUACUAAUCCAUGUACCUCAACCGUUAAAAAUACUCCGAUUUCUCUAGCAGAAUCAAAGCUUUGAUCUUGCUUGAACCAGGACUGAACCCCAGUUACAGAAGGUGAAUUAAUUUCCUCAGAGUACCAUCUCUAGAGAACUUCACUAGCCUGAGUGACAACCAAACACUCACCACCACCUUAUUACACUUCGAACUGAAGUACACCAGAUGAGCAUAAUCAGUGACUGAGGUCUAGAGACUGGUGUGGUCUGGAUGCAGCUUUGGCAUCAAUGCAUAUUACCCCCAGCACUAAGUCAAUGCAGCUGAACUCUUCUGGAGAAGAAGGGGUAGUUCAGUUUCCGUGGCAUUUCCUUCAA
Molecule: long non-coding RNA, 484 nt
Organism: Dermochelys coriacea (leatherback sea turtle)
Lineage: Eukaryota; Metazoa; Chordata; Testudines; Dermochelyidae
Exons: 4
Source: RefSeq, a predicted model, not a curated record